RNAcentral lists this long non-coding RNA (1140 nucleotides) under Equus asinus (donkey). RNAcentral's name for it is "lncRNA (ENSEASG00005036166.1)". Lineage: Eukaryota; Metazoa; Chordata; Mammalia; Perissodactyla; Equidae. The record is from RNAcentral.
CGGACAGGCGCUGUGCAUCUCAGUGUGUCCUCACAGUCACCCUCGGAGCCAGGGAGCCACGUGGACUUCACCUGGAGCUCCCCGGAGCCUUCCAGAGCUCCCAGAAGAUCAGAGUGUUGGAGCUGGAAGGUCCCUGAGUGGUCCCCAUGUGAUGGGGGAGGAAACUGAAGCGCAGAGAGGUGUGACCAGGCCUGCCUUCCUCCAUGCACUCCCUGCUGGGCACGUCUGCCAGGCUAGGCCGUGCCCUCCACCUGCACCUUUGGGGGUGACCCUGGGCAGGCCUCUCCCCUUUUGGCCUCAGUUUCCUCACUUGUCAGAUGAUGGCUCCCCUCCAGGUAUCUCUGAGGCCUCUCCCAGCUGGAAAACCUCCUUCUGAGUUAGGGCCUCCACUCCAUCCCGUCAGUCCUGGGUUCCCAUGAGGCCUCAUCCCUCCAGAAGCACCGGCCCAGUGACAGGGCCAGUGGCGGGUGUCUGGGGACCCCCAGGAAGAGGAGGGACUUUCUGGCCAGAGAAGCGGGGACCAGCCUGGGUAGGGGCAAAGCAGCUUCCCCCUGUGGCCUCCCUCAGACCACACCACCAGGUGUCCCUUGGUCCCCACAGGCAGGGGUUCCUGAAAAGUCGAUGUCUCUCCAGUGGGUGCAGCCUCUGACGUGUGUUUGCCUGUGUGAGUGUGUGUGUGUGUUCACACGCACAUGGUAGGGGUGGGGUGAGUGUGGAGGUUGGUGGGCACACAGGCCUAGGGGCCUAAGGUGGAGGUGUGACCAGACUUUGGUUGUUGAGCUGGGGCAACUUGUGACAGAGGCCUCACCACACUCACGGAUCCCAGCCAGAACCCUUGGCUGGUGCUGGUCUAACCCAAGGAGGGGAUGUACCUGGGGGAGGGGUGCAUGCAGGGCAGGGGUGCAUGUCAGGGAGGGUACAGGACCCAAAUGCUGUCGGGGCCUCCAGGGAGCUGGGACCCCAGUGAAUCCUUGAGGGGAACUGACUCUGACUUGCCUCCUUUUAUUUAUUGUCCAUUUACAACAAUACUGCUAAUAAAUAACGUUAAUUGAAUCCCCUCACACAACACAUUCCUGCCCCUGUGUUACAAGUCAUAUGAGCGCAAUGAAAAAACUUGGAAAAUACAGAAAAACACAAAAA